Molecule: long non-coding RNA, 347 nt
Filed under: Rattus norvegicus (Norway rat)
Lineage: Eukaryota; Metazoa; Chordata; Mammalia; Rodentia; Muridae
Description: long non-coding RNA NONRATT032366
Source: RNAcentral
CUUUGUGAGAGUACUGUGUAGCAAGAAUGUCAAGGAUGUGGCUUACUGAACCACAGAAGACAUGAGCUCCACUGUAUCUUCCAUAGUAUUUUCUGUUGAGAAAUAUUAAGUUCUCAGAGUUAAUAAUUUAUUUUUUGUAGGAUAGCUUUACACCUGUUAUACUGGCUCUAAUAAAGAACAAUGAAAACCUGGCAAAAUUUUUAGAAGACCAGAGAAAAAAGAUACAGGAACCUGAUGAAUUAGACAGGUCUUCAAAGAAAACUUCCAAUGAAAAGGACAAGGUAUGGGAAUAUAAAUUCAAAUUGUAUUUAUUAAGAUACAGUAUAAAAGUCAAAGUAAUAUAUUAU